Molecule: long non-coding RNA, 185 nt
Organism: Sardina pilchardus (European sardine)
Lineage: Eukaryota; Metazoa; Chordata; Actinopteri; Clupeiformes; Clupeidae
Exons: 3
Source: RefSeq, a predicted model, not a curated record
GGUCCCAGAGCAGAGGCGGUGGCCAGCGUGGAGACGGAGGCUGCUGCUAGUCAGAUGGAGACUCACAGUGUGGAUGCCUGUCACUGGUACCCUCAGUGCUUUAUGCCAUCCCACAGACUGGUGAAAGGCCGGAACAGAUCAGCGCAGCCCCCUCCAGCCCCCCCGGCCUUCACUGCAGCCCCCCC